GAUGAACGCUGGCGGCGUGCCUAAUACAUGCAAGUCGAGCGAACGGACGAGAAGCUUGCUUUUCUGAUGUUAGCGGCGGACGGGUGAGUAACACGUGGAUAACCUACCUAUAAGACUGGGAUAACUUCGGGAAACCGGAGCUAAUACCGGAUAAUAUUUUGAACCGCAUGGUUCAUAAGUGAAAGACGGCCUUGCUGUCACUUAUAGAUGGAUCCGCGCUGCAUUAGCUAGUUGGUAAGGUAACGGCUUACCAAGGCAACGAUGCAUAGCCGACCUGAGAGGGUGAUCGGCCACACUGGAACUGAGACACGGUCCAGACUCCUACGGGAGGCAGCAGUAGGGAAUCUUCCGCAAUGGGCGAAAGCCUGACGGAGCAACGCCGCGUAAGUGAUGAAGGUCUUCGGAUCGUAAAACUCUGUUAUUAGGGAAGAACAUAUGUGUAAGUAACUGUGCACAUCUUGACGGUACCUAAUCAGAAAGCCACGGCUAACUACGUG
Molecule: ribosomal RNA, 497 nt
Filed under: uncultured bacterium
Lineage: Bacteria
Description: partial 16S ribosomal RNA
Rfam family: Bacterial small subunit ribosomal RNA
Source: RNAcentral